CCUACGGUAGGCAGCAGUGGGGAAUAUUGCACAAUGGGGGAAACCCUGAUGCAGCGACGCCGCGUGAGUGAAGAAGUAUUUCGGUAUGUAAAGCUCUAUCAGCAGGGAAGAAAAUGACGGUACCUGAUUAAGAAGCCCCGGCUAACUACGUGCCAGCAGCCGCGGUAAUACGUAGGGGGCAAGCGGUAUCCGGAUUUACUGGGUGUACAGGGAGCGUAGACGGCAGCACAAGUCUGGAGUGAAAUGCCGGGGCUUAACCCCGGGACUGCUUUGGAAACUGUGCAGCGAGAGUGCAGGAGAGGUAAGUGGAAUUCCUAGUGUAGCGGUGAAAUGCGUAGAUAUUAGGAGGAACACCAGUGGCGAAGGCGGCUUACUGGACUGUAACUGACGUUGAGGCUCGAAAGCGUGGGGAGCAAACAGGAUUAGAUACCCGGGUAGUC
This 440-nucleotide ribosomal RNA is filed under the name uncultured bacterium. RNAcentral describes it as "partial 16S ribosomal RNA". It matches the Rfam family "Bacterial small subunit ribosomal RNA", at positions 338 to 795 of the family's 1533-position model. The record is from RNAcentral.